RNAcentral lists this long non-coding RNA (1145 nucleotides) under Malus domestica (apple). Its description in RNAcentral is "long non-coding RNA (MDOM_LNC016598)". Lineage: Eukaryota; Viridiplantae; Streptophyta; Magnoliopsida; Rosales; Rosaceae. The record is from RNAcentral.
CUACUAACAUACGAUGUUGUAGAACAUACUUAACUUAGUAUGUUGGUCCAAAAUAUAAGUAGUCGUACUCGGGGUCAGAGUUUAGAGCCACCUUUGGAUGAUUUUUAGAUCAUCAAUCCGACUAUUCCUUUGAAUGGUGUAGAGAUCGGGUUUGAAUGUUAUAACCCACAACUUUGCUAGUUGUAUAAACUUUUUGGAGACCGGAUGAUGCAUAUGACUUACGGGAUAGGGUGCCAUAUUCCUUUGCUUGUACCCCUUCAAUCGUAAUCACGUUUAUUAUGGCUUGAAUCUCCCAAGUUGCUAACCAUUCAAGACAGAUUGAGCUAAGAGAGACUCCUUUGAUAAUGUUGCUUUGAAUUUUUAGACUUCCAUUCAUGCGAAGUUUUCUAAGGUUAUGCGUUUGUGUGAGAUGAAUAAGGUAUUCCUUACAUCACCAAAAAAAAAAAAACAAAGAACAAUCGUUGAAGCUAAGACAGAUAAAGCAUAUUCAUUCAUUCAUGACCAAAAUAAGAUUGAUUGAUAGGGGGUGUGAUCCAUGUUUGAAGCUAUCCUGGCUAAUGCAUCAGUGUGGUUAUUUUCUUCUCUUAGAAUUUGCGUAAUUUAGUAGUUUUCGAAUCAUUUGAGGAAUGUUUUGACCUUGUUUAGGUAAAGCCCUAUCAUAGGAUGAUGCGUGGCGUUAUCCCUCGUGACCUGAUUAACUAUGAGCAUCGAGCCAUAAUGAAUCAACAAUUCUCUCACCUGGAGCGAUCCGAGGACAGAGGGCUUGGAUUUGGGUCUAUUGAUGGGUUAUUCCGUGGUACUGAUACUCUCAUCAACUUCUAAUGUGGAUGCGCCGCCUUGUGCGCUUAAAUCUAAUAGAGAAAAACCUUGGGUGAGAGAAUCUAGUGGUUGCACAACCAUGGGUGAGUGAAUAUGGCAAUUGCACCAGCUUAGCCUAUCAGAUUUGGCAGUUGCGCCACCUGUGUUUUUCAAGGCAGCUCCGCUGCCUGCAUUUCCAAAUUAAUUGGUAACUCUAUGGCCUUCCUUGACUUGUGGAUGUUGCAAAUUCAACUUGAACAUUGCUAUUGCAAGUAGCCUUGGCAAGAGUGUCCUAGUUCUCACUGGAAUGAAUCGACACAAGAUUCCUUUCUUGGAGUAGUUUAGUU